This 404-nucleotide ribosomal RNA is filed under the name uncultured bacterium. RNAcentral's name for it is "bacterial SSU rRNA". It matches the Rfam family "Bacterial small subunit ribosomal RNA", at positions 355 to 776 of the family's 1533-position model. The record is from RNAcentral.
UGGGGGAUAUUGCACAAUGGGGGGAACCCUGAUGCAGCGACGCCGCGUGAGCGAAGAAGUACCUCGGUAUGUAAAGCUCUAUCAGCAGGGAAGAAGAUGACGGUACCUGACCAAGAAGCUCCGGCUAAAUACGUGCCAGCAGCCGCGGUAAUACGUAUGGAGCAAGCGUUAUCCGGAUUUACUGGGUGUAAAGGGAGCGCAGGCGGCCAGGCAAGUCCGAUGUGAAAUACCGGGGCCCAACCCCGGGGCUGCAUUGGAAACUGUCGGGCUGGAGUGUCGGAGGGGCAGGCGGAAUUCCUAGUGUAGCGGUGAAAUGCGUAGAUAUUAGGAGGAACACCGGUGGCGAAGGCGGCCUGCUGGACGACGACUGACGCUGAGGCUCGAAAGCGUGGGGAGCAAACAGG